Molecule: non-coding RNA, 1149 nt
Organism: Danio rerio (zebrafish)
Lineage: Eukaryota; Metazoa; Chordata; Actinopteri; Cypriniformes; Danionidae
Source: RefSeq, a predicted model, not a curated record
AGCCUGCUUGCCACACACACAGUGAAGAUGCCCUCAUUCACACCUGUUCUGUUCAAAACAAACAUGAUACAUACAGAAAUGAAAACCAUCUUGCUGUAGGGGUACCUAUUAUUGAAUGGCUGUGGUGAGAUGACGGAGGUGGAGUCGGCGUUAGACUUUGCAUCCUCAGGCCGGUCAGGUCGACGUAAUGCUCUUCCUAACAUUUUGGGCUCUCCAGCUGGUGUCAAUCCAUCUGACCUGCCCCUCACACUAGCUGAACUCUCCCUCACAGAUGGUCCUGAAGGAGCUCAGUCUCCCGCAUCACAGGAAACACCAAUCCCUUCAGAGAGUUUAGAGAAGAAACAGUGAUCCUAAUAACUAAUUUUCUCAUCCUCCAGUCAACACCUGUACUAUUAGAAGGAAGUACUCGGCUGAUAAGAUGUCUGUGCUGCAGAAUAACAAUUCAUUUUCGGCACAGACUAUGACUCUGUGCCUGUUGACAUUAAUAGAGGAUUCAGACUCAUUGCUUUUGUUUGUUGUUGAUGAGACGAGGUGAGGUGAGAUGUUUCAGAUUACCUCGUUCACCUGGCCUAAUUAUGUAAGAAAUGAUUUGAAACAUAGCAAUAUCCUGGUCAUGCACAUGCUGCUAAGAGCAUAAUUGAACAGAAUAUGUAAUAUGCACACAUACACAAAAUAGCAAUGUGUUUAUAUAUUUGAUCAAAAUUUGUAGGUAGCAUUGAAAUUGUUUAAUUUUUUUUAGCACUUUAUGCUGUAGAUUGAUGUAAAUCAACUUUACAGCAUGAAAGAUAAAUAGGCUGUGAUGGCAUUACUUUCAAUUAAGACAAUAUUCAAUAUACAGUUUUCAAACUGAACAGAGCAUAUUAAACUGAAAAAAAAAUGUCCACAUCUACUAAUUAUGGAGCAGUGUUACUGUCGUUAAAUUAUUUUGGCCUGAUUUUGCUCAUAGGGGCUGCUCUCCUGUUUGUACAUCUAUCAGGGCCCUAAGUGACAAGAAACACAAGAAAGUGGCUUAGAAACCGCCAGUAUUGUUACUAAUUAAUUACAAAUAAUUAUGUUAACUAUGAUGAAGCUAAAAUAUAUAAAUAUUUUCUUGCAGAAUAACUUAAACAACAUAAGUUCAAGUUAAGAAACCACACCAAUGAAAAUACA